Molecule: long non-coding RNA, 2085 nt
Filed under: Homo sapiens (human)
Lineage: Eukaryota; Metazoa; Chordata; Mammalia; Primates; Hominidae
Description: HSALNT0002699
Source: RNAcentral
CUCUGAUUGGGCAAUCAGGGUCAAGAGGUACUCCUGGGGACUCAUGCUGGUCCCCGUCACUCACCGUGCACCCACAUCCUGCUCAGGCUCUGCAUGGAAGACUUCCGGGCUGACUGUGCUCAGCUCUUCUGUUUGCUAGACCUUCACGGGUUGCAACAGCAAGCAUGGACUUUGCAGACAGAAAGACUUGGGUUUGAAUCCCAGCUCUGUCACCAUCCGACUGUGUGAUAUGGGGUUUUGCAGGCUCAUCCUUGGGGCCAGGACUAUAGAGAGGCAAGUGACCAGACGCCGAAGACAAAAAUUCCUCCAGGUUCAAACUUGCCCUACCCUGCUUCGAUGCAUAAGCAGUUGACUCAAUAAAGAUGUGUCUCUGACCCAGCCCUUGCCUCUGUACCUCAAAUCCAGGAGUUCUUCUCCUGAGUGUUAUUUUGCAUAAGCUUGGGUAAUUGAUGACCACUGGUCUCCCCACUUGAGACUGCAAGCCUCUUGAGGACAGAGACCCAACAUCCCGCCCAGAGCCCGGCAUGAAGUGGGUGCCCAGUGAUCCAAUGGUUUUCAUUCCUUUCCCUAUUUCCACCCUUUCUUGUCUGUUCAUUCAAACUGACAUUGAUCGACGAAGACCUCCUGCCCCUCCCAGCGCUGCCUGCACUCACACUCCAGUCACGUGGGAAACACUUCCCUGCUCCUCUCUGUCCACCCACGUAGCCACAUCCAUCCAUUGCUUCCUCCAAAUCCCCACUCUAGUGUCACCUCCUUCAGGAAGCCUGCCUAGCCCCACACAGAAUACCGCUGAUCCCAAUCCCCUCUCCCUAAGGAAUCCAGGAACCCAGAGGGUUUCAUAGGAUGAAAAGACUUGUGCACCCCUGGUGACCUGGAGUCAUACUCAGUCCAGUGACCCCACUGGGCUGUUCCCAGUUCCCCCAGGGAUGUCUGUCAGCUUCCUGUUUAGGUGACCCUCUUCUUGGCCUUGCUCAAGCCCCUUCCCAGGCUGACUGGAGUAAGGACGCCUGUGAGACCACGAGAAACCUGUGUCUGUAUAGCCUGGUCAUUGGUCACUGGAGGUUGUGUUGUAGAGGGAACCAUCGGGGUACUGAGAGAAACCCAGGUAGGUAUUUAGCAGAGAGGACAACCGGUAUCCGAAAAGGAGCCCAGGCCAGUGGCCUGGAGGAGUGCUGCCCCUGAGUCCCUGGGUGCCUCUUCCACUGCCCUCCUUUCCUCAGAGCUGUCCCUUGUCCCCAUGGAGCUGGCCUCUCACAGAGCCAUAACCAGCAUUCGCAUCAUUGGUAACAAGAGGUCAGUGAAGGUGCUGGCUCGGAGCAGAGCCUGGAGCAAAGCCGCAAUGAGUGAGACAGAGGAAGCACAAAAGUGCUUCUUCCCUCUGGGCCCAGGGGCUGCCAGGUGAGUAGGGGCCACAGGGAUGGCUGAGUGGGUGUCCUAGCUCCUUGGAACAGAACACUGGUGUCAUCACCCUGGGUGGGGCUGCCUGUCCUCUACCUCCUCCUCCCAGCUAGGACAACUUUGCUAACAGCCUAAUCGCCAGUGUCUAGAGCACCUUCUGAGAGCUGUGUCUGGCCCAGAUCUGGGGCUGGUCUUCACCCCAUUUUCUGUGAGGUCACAGAUCCUGAGUUUCCUAAUCCCUGAAGCUGAGGAGGCUGCUCAGAGCCUGAGCCAUUUCCAGGUCAGGAGCCUUGGCACAUCUCAAGCCAGCAAGGCAGUGGGGUCUGCAGGCCACCCACCCGGGCACAGUGACCACCAGCCCUGCACCAUCACCUGGAUGGGGCUGGAUUGGAGACAACUGAAGCACUAUCCCUGCAGACAGAUGCCAGCCAAGGCUGGGUGAUGAGGGCCCCACAGCCACAUAUCAGACUUUGGGGACCCUGCCCAGCAACCUUUGGGUCAAGUUCAACUCACAAUUCUCUGCAUGUGCACACGUGUGCACACACACACACACGCAUGCCACUGCACUCUUAAAUCCCUGCACAGCAGCAAACACAGGGUGUCCCCCACAUGCACCCACAAACACGUAAACACAUUUAUAUACACACACAGACCCACUUACCAACUCAUGUAGUUCCCCGAUACACG